Molecule: transfer RNA, 115 nt
Filed under: Sclerotinia borealis F-4128
Lineage: Eukaryota; Fungi; Ascomycota; Leotiomycetes; Helotiales; Sclerotiniaceae
Rfam family: tRNA
About the family: Transfer RNA (tRNA) molecules are approximately 80 nucleotides in length. Their secondary structure includes four short double-helical elements and three loops (D, anti-codon, and T loops).
Source: Rfam by way of RNAcentral
GUCUUCGUGGCUCAGUUGGUUAGAGCGUUGGUCUCAUAUUCUUUCUUAUAUGAGGUGGUUGUCAACAUCCACUUUAGCCAUCCAAAGGUCGAGAGUUCGAGUCUCUCCGAGGACA